This 522-nucleotide ribosomal RNA is filed under the name Thermiphione risensis. RNAcentral's name for it is "partial large subunit ribosomal RNA". It matches the Rfam family "Bacterial large subunit ribosomal RNA", at positions 1797 to 2619 of the family's 2925-position model. Lineage: Eukaryota; Metazoa; Annelida; Polychaeta; Phyllodocida; Iphionidae. The record is from RNAcentral.
CGCCUGUUUAUCAAAAACAUUGCCUCUAGCAUCCCCAUUAAAGGUAAUUCCUGCCCAGUGAAAUUUCAACGGCCGCGGUACCCUAACCGUGCAAAGGUAGCAUAAUCAUUUGCCUCCUAAUUAGAGGCUAGUAUGAACGGAUAAACGAGAUACUUACUGUCUCCUAAUUACCCACAUAAAUUAUACUUCAGGUGAAGAUACCUGAAUCACACUAAAAGACAAGAAGACCCUAUAGAGUUUUAGCUUAAAUAAGUCACCUACUUUUCAAAGCUUUAGUUGGGGCGACUAAGGAACUAAUUUAUCUUCCUUUAUUAUAAAGAAAUUAAUUCAAAAAUAGACCCUAUUUCAUGGAUCAUCAAAAUUAACUACCUUAGGGAUAACAGGCUUAUCUUCCUAGAGAGCCCUAAUCGAUAGGAAGGUUUGGCACCUCGAUGUUGGCUUAGAGUACCCUAACAGAGCAGAACCUGUAAACGGUCAGUUUGUUCAACUGAUAAAACUCUACGUGAUCUGAGUUCAGACCGG